GACGAACGCUGGCGGCGUGCCUAAUACAUGCAAGUAGAACGCUGAAGGAGGAGCUUGCUUCUCUGGAUGAGUUGCGAACGGGUGAGUAACGCGUAGGUAACCUGCCUGGUAGCGGGGGAUAACUAUUGGAAACGAUAGCUAAUACCGCAUAAGAGUAGAUGUUGCAUGACAUUUGCUUAAAAGGUGCAAUUGCAUCACUACCAGAUGGACCUGCGUUGUAUUAGCUAGUUGGUGGGGUAACGGCUCACCAAGGCGACGAUACAUAGCCGACCUGGGAGGGGGGACGGCCCACCUGGGACUGGGACAACGCCCAAGCUCCUUAGGGGGGGAGCAGGAGGGAAACUUCGGCAAAGGGCGGAAGGCUGACCGAGGAAAGCCGCGGGAGGGGAGGAGGGUUUCGGAUCGUAAAGCUCUGUUGUAAGAGAAGAACGAGUGUGAGAGUGGAAAGUUCACACUGUGACGGUAUCUUACCAGAAAGGGACGGCUAACUACGUG
RNAcentral lists this ribosomal RNA (495 nucleotides) under uncultured bacterium. RNAcentral describes it as "partial 16S ribosomal RNA". It matches the Rfam family "Bacterial small subunit ribosomal RNA", at positions 28 to 507 of the family's 1533-position model. The record is from RNAcentral.